UUGGGAUCUACAGGGGUGAAGAAGGAAAAUGGACUUUAAAGAUCAUGUGAACUGGUUCGACAUUUAUAAAGGGUGUAAUGAAUAUGCUGUCAUUCUGUACUGGUGAUACUGACACAAAACACUGCAGGAGGAGGAUGACAGAGGAUUAGCCUCCUGCACUUUCUCCACUGCCUUUGUGAUCUCAGCUUUCAGAGCCUCUGUUUCAUCCGCAGAUACAGAUGUUGCAACAGGCACCACUGCAUCGGGUUUGGCAUUUGUGGGGUCGUAUGUUGUCAUGAUGGCGGAUGUGAUUGGCCAGUUGGCUGGACUGCACAAACCUGUAUGUUAUAACGUCACAAUUACACAG
Long non-coding RNA from Pangasianodon hypophthalmus (striped catfish), 346 nucleotides. RefSeq lists it as uncharacterized. NCBI's taxonomy places the organism in Eukaryota, Metazoa, Chordata, Actinopteri, Siluriformes, Pangasiidae. The record is from RefSeq and is a predicted model, not a curated record. The transcript has 3 exons.